GUCUUGUUACUGACUAUUUUUCAUAUUUGACAACAACAACACCAACAACACCUUGUUGCAAAAAAAAAUGUCGUUCUCCUUAAUCUUUUACAUUUUUCCAAAAAUAGUAUAAAGUGUCCUUAUCAUAAUGAUCCCUUCCUUUUUUAUAUAUCUAAUAAUUUUUUUUUUUAUUUGUUUUAAAAUUUCAAACCUACUGCCUAUCCUAUUUAUACAUUUCAAUACGGCUCAGCGUUAGGGUAUAAAUUGAAAUCUGAUUUUAAAACUGAACUAACAUCUUAAAAACUAAAACAAUUAAAAAAAAAUCUAUGCCUACUUAUGAACAAACUGACACAUCGUUAAGAUUCUUUCUUCAACUCCUUAAUUAAUUAUUUCCUUAUUCUUAUCUUAAUUUCUAAUAAUAAUCCUCAUAUUAAAGUGUUCAUGAAAAAUUUCAAUUUUACUGUAAAGCUAGUUUUCCUUUAAU
This 463-nucleotide long non-coding RNA is filed under the name Mytilus galloprovincialis (Mediterranean mussel). Lineage: Eukaryota; Metazoa; Mollusca; Bivalvia; Mytilida; Mytilidae. The record is from RNAcentral.